This 411-nucleotide ribosomal RNA is filed under the name Phialocephala dimorphospora. RNAcentral's name for it is "SSU rRNA". It matches the Rfam family "Eukaryotic small subunit ribosomal RNA", at positions 588 to 1004 of the family's 1831-position model. The record is from RNAcentral. Lineage: Eukaryota; Fungi; Ascomycota; Leotiomycetes; Helotiales; Mollisiaceae.
GCUCCAAUAGCGUAUAUUAAAGUUGUUGCAGUUAAAAAGCUCGUAGUUGAACCUUGGGCCUUGCUGGCCGGUCCGCCUCACCGCGUGCACUGGUCCGACCGGGUCUUUCCUUCUGAGGAGCCGCAUGCCCUUCACUGGGUGUGUCGGGGAAUCAGGACUUUUACUUUGAAAAAAUUAGAGUUUCAAAGCAGGCCUAUGCUCGAAUACAUUAGCAUGGAAUAAUAGAAUAGGACGUGUGGUUCUAUUUUGUUGGUUUCUAGGACCGCCGUAAUGAUUAAUAGGGACAGUCGGGGGCAUCAGUAUUCAAUUGUCAGAGGUGAAAUUCUUGGAUUUAUUGAAGACUAACUACUGCGAAAGCAUUUGCCAAGGAUGUUUUCAUUGAUCAGUGAACGAAAGUUAGGGGAUCGAAGA